Sarcophilus harrisii (Tasmanian devil) is the source of this 4162-nucleotide long non-coding RNA. NCBI's taxonomy places the organism in Eukaryota, Metazoa, Chordata, Mammalia, Dasyuromorphia, Dasyuridae. The record is from Ensembl.
CACGUGGAUUCUGUUUCCAAGCCAUUACAAGAAACCAGCAAUGAGCUUGUUGGCUGAAUUUUGAUGAAUUAUAAUUUAAGUAGGAAACAUGGAAACUGAGUUUUUUUUUUAAAUGUCACAACUUGUUUCCUCCAAUCUUGAUUUGUGAAUGGGUUCUCAGAAGACAGAAGGUGAAAAUCAGCCUGGGCUCAUCCCGGGGUACCUAAUUGGCUUACCCUAGGCUAAUGAAUCAAGACAUUUCAAUUUACUAACAAAAUCUAUAGUUUGUUGUCCAUAACAUCUAAGUGUCCAGAGCUUCUGUUUCCCAAUUUUAACUUUUCCAGGGGUUGUAAAGACUUAAGUAGGGAUCAUUUCCUACUCUGCGCUCUCUAGAAAAUACUUGUGACCCUAUGAUCUUAAUCUUACGGCACCAGCUCUCAAGAAACCUGCUCAAAUUAACUAUAUAAACUAUAUCCAUUAAGGUCUUUUGCUUCCUUUUUUCCCCUCAACACAUAGCACAGUACCUGGCACGUAGUAGGUGCAUAAUGAAUGUUUAUUGACUGAUUUCAUGUCUGUACUGAUUGAGAACCGACUUGAUCUGGAUGUGCUGCAGGGCUUCCCGGUGUGAGGAAAAAGGCUUCGGAGAAUGUGCUCUUGGAUCCAUUGCAGUUGCUUUAAGAUGGCAAUCAGUGGAGAGGAUGGAGCUCUGGCCUGUAGGCCAGGGCUAAGACAGGAUGAAACGAGGAAAUAGGUUCGUGCCUCUGUGCAGAAGAAAAAAUAACCAGAAGUAACUUUACCAGAUGGUGUCUUGCCAUGUUUUUUGCCCAUUGUAACAUUUCUAUAGAGCAAGGUAAGUGGCCAUCCGUCCCAAAGGAACUAAAGGGUCCAUCAGAAUUAUUCACUUCAAUACAGGAGGGCAAGUAGACCAUUAAUGAUCUUAGCCAAGUCAUUGCUCUUAGCCUUGGUCAUCUGUAAAGGGAGAGCCCCAGGAGCUGCAGACUCCCCUUCUUAGGGCAGUUGGGCCCAAAUAAGAGAAAGUAAAGUAUUUGGCACAUUUUAGCUAGGUGUUAUUCAUGAAACUGAAUCUUAAAGCUGAUGUUUACAGAAAAUAACUUCAAUGAGAGCUUUAUCCUACAACUAUUUCUUAAGCAAAACAAACCCUUUGUUGUUUGAUUUUUAACCAGUGAGAAAUACCGGACACUUUGUUAUUUGAGAACAAACAGAAGAAAACUUAGGAGGGGAGGGAAGGGGCAACUGACUUUCUGGCUGUUAGUAGGACUGCAUUACCUUUCCUCCCAGAGGGCCCCAUUUUCUGCUUCAGUUUACAAUGAUGUAAUUUGGCAGAUUGGGGAAGGUCAAUUUAGAUUUCCUUGAUACUGUCAGAAUGGGGGGGUGGAAGGGGCACAGAUUGAACCAUGUAAACAUUUCUGCUUUUUGUAAGAUAUUAGCAAUCCCUCCCCAUCUUCCACCCAUCUCAAGCAGCAAAGUGGGAAAUGUGGCCGCCUUAACUGGACUCUCUCCCUUCCUGUCGUGGCCUUGGAGCAACAUCUUCAAACAAGUGAGCAUUGCCAAGAGGUUAGAAAAUUGUGACAAAUCCUAGGACCUGUUAAGUUAGGACUUGGAGAGAGAAAUGAGACUCCAGGCAGACAAGAAGUACAUCCACCCGCUGAAGUUCCAUGUUGGAGCGUAUGAAGCAUAAGCUCAUUGGUUCAGAUGGGGAUUCCCAUGGUCAGACCUUGAGCUGAGGCUCCAUGGUCAAGGACCAGUCACUCAGGGGGCUCCUUUCUCUUCUGGAAUGAGAUUGGCUAGACCCCCUUUAUCGGGCGUCUUCAGGCUCUGGGCCUGGGAAGUGACUUGGCCAGAGUUUGAACCUUCCUGCAUUGAGGUCCAGCCUCCUGGUGAGGAGGAGGAGUUUCACCUGCUCCAGGGAGCCUAGGAUAGAAUAGGAGACAAGUUCCUAAAGACAGACUUGGGAUCCAAGUGUAAGCUCGUGUCAUUCAAUCUGGCUGUAUGCAAGGAGCCGAGAGCAUGGGUAAGGACACUGGAAUUGAUAGGAGUGAAUUUUUCAGGGCCUGAGUUUCCAUGUUAAGUGUUAUUCAUAGUCUUGGAUUAAGGCAGACAAUCAACAAAACUGUGCAUCAUAUUUUAAGUUGCAAAUAGGAGGUUCUUAGUUUUCUUUUUUUUCCUCUCCUUCACAAUAUUAAAACUCCUCUCUGUGGUUCUACAAAAGCACUUCAAUAUUUUAUGUGUGCUCAUCUCAUUUUACCUCACACAUCAGCAAGGAAUCAGCAAGUAGGGACAGAACUGCUUCUGUUACUUAUUCCUAAUUUAUAUUCGCUUGAGUGUUUUCCACAGAGGGGGCUUCCUUCUCCACUACCAGCCACUACCCCCUUUGUUGAGCUUUCUCUUAACCCUGGUGAUGGAGACAGAAGAUGAUAAAAAAUUGACAAGGGAACAAGCUGCUUUGGGUGCUAUUAAGUUACAGAUAGUCUGAUUAGAAUUCUUGGCUGUCUUUCUGUUGCCAUCCUCAGGCAGAAGUGCUAAUUAAGUAAUCCCAAGUUAGCAAAAAGCAGAAAAGAGCCCCCCAGUUCCUAAACGAUUCUGAGGAAGCAAGAUUGGCCUUAGGUUUCCGCUUCCCUCGUUAAGAUGGCAGGACCGUAGAAAAGACUUCAGAAACCAUCUAGUCUCUUUUUACAGAAGAAAAAAUGUCCGUGUCCCAAAGAAUUGGUAGCUGAUGACAACCACAAGUCCAAAUUUAAAAUAGAAUUUCGUCUUCACUAAUGGCCCGCCUUGCCCAGAAAGAUAAAUGUGCUUGUUCACAUUCUUCUACUGCUGACUUAGACCAUUAACUGGGUCCAGAACGAGUCCAAUGAUCACAAACAGAAACCUCUUAAUAGAUACAAGUCAGCAUUCCCGAGUAAGAAUGGGCCACAAGGUGGCAAGGGUAAAAGAAGAGAACAGCAACGAAUCCAGUGCAAGACUGAUGGUAUCGCCAACAUUUUAUAAUUUUAUAAGAUUGACGAUAGUUUAAGUCUGAGCUUACGCUUGAUUCAGUGUAAGUUGCUAAGGGACUCAUGGGAAUAGCCAGUUUGGCUACUACAGGUAUUCCCGAGUCAGUCCUUAACAUCCACAAAUUUGUGACAGGGUUAAAUAGAGUAGCUGAGCUACAUGACAUUACGGAUAGAGUAUUGGGCCUGGGGCCAAGAAGACGAGUUCAAAUGCGCCUUCCUAGUGUGACCCUGGGUAAGUCACUUCGCCCUCUGUGCCUCAGUUUCCUCAUCUGUAAAAUGAGCAGAAGGAAUAUCGAACCACUCCAAAUUCUGUUGCCAAAAACAUUCCAAAUCUGGUCAUGAGGAGUUUGAACUGAAAAGUGAAUGAACGACAUCUCUAAAGGAUUUAGCAUCUUUUAAAGAUGAUUAAUGGGGCACACUGAGUACCGCUUCUUUUAAAAGGCCAUCUUCAAUAUUUGACUGGGGAAAUGGGUAUCUUUUGUCAGUCACCAUAACUCAAUAAUACAUUUCCUUGGAAAACACACUGAAAGGUGAAAAUUAGUUAAUUUUUUUUUUGUCUGUGGCACUUAAGAAUAACCCAUCUCAUUCUGUUUCUUCCUGUCCUAAAGAAUCUGUGGUCUUGCACGGUUGUCUUUGGGCUCAUGGUGGGUGAAUUAGCAAACCAGAUAAAGGCCUUGGGCCCAUAGACCCAAAAGCCUGGUCUCUUUCUGCUGUUUGCUCAUGGGAAGGACUGGGGUGAGUUGCUUGAAUUAACUUUGAAUAAAAUGAAUAUGUUCCUUCCAAGCAAUCGGAGCAAAGUUAGUACUUAUACAUCAUGUUACUUGGAAGUAACUAUAAAGCGUUCUUCAUGGCUCACGUUCAGUCAUUUUGAAUCUAAACAAGUGAACAAAGCAUGUCUGACGCCUGAGAAAUUUAUCCAAUGUUGUAGUCACUUAAGAUUUCUUGAACCAGACCUGGGCUCCUUAUAUAUAUGUAUAUACAACUCAAUUUCAAACUAUCCUGACCCCAACAACCCCCAUCCUGAGGAAGCCUUGGCUUUGCUCUAAGGUGAAGGUUUACCCAACUGGCUAAUUCUUCUUCCUAAGUGGUUGCCGUGGAGUGUCAGUAAGCCCAUAAUGAUAACUAUUUAUGGUAGACUCAUUUAUUUAUUCUCUGUAUCUCUGUAGUUUUGU